CUGUGCUAGGCGGGGGGCUAGCGGUCCCCUGAAUCCGCAACCCGCUCAAGCGGAGCCGAAGGGUCAUCUGAGAGGCCUUCGUCUGGGAGAGCGCUCGGUGCGUGCGGCGUCGAAGGCUGAGCCCUCUACGGCGCAAACUCGUGAACCCCGCCAGGCCCGGAAGGGUGCAACGGUAAGCGGGCCCUGCGGGUGCUAGAGGAUUCCUUGGCCGGAGCUGGCUGCCCGAGAAGCACCCGGGGGAAGAUCCCGAAGUGAUCUGCACAG
Molecule: signal recognition particle RNA, 264 nt
Filed under: Candidatus Fraserbacteria bacterium RBG_16_55_9
Lineage: Bacteria; Candidatus Fraseribacteriota
Description: signal recognition particle sRNA large type
Rfam family: Bacterial large signal recognition particle RNA
About the family: The signal recognition particle (SRP) is a universally conserved ribonucleoprotein involved in the co-translational targeting of proteins to membranes. Archaeal SRP consists of a 7S RNA and homologues of the eukaryotic SRP19 and SRP54 proteins.
Source: RNAcentral